AGAGUGAACGCUAGCGGCGUGCUUAACACAUGCAAGUCUAACGGUUCGAGUAGCAAUAUUCGGACGGUGGCAAACGGGUGAGUAAUAUAUAGGAAUCUGCCUAGAAGAGGGGGACAACAUUUGGAAACGAGUGCUAAUACCGCAUAAUACCACUUGUGGGAAAGUCGUAAGACGCUUUUAGAUGAGCCUAUACCUGAUUAGCUAGUUGGUGGGGUAAUGGCCUACCAAGGCUAAGAUCAGUAGCCGAUCUGAGAGGGUGAUCGGCCACACUGGAACUGAGACACGGUCCAGACUCCUACGGGAGGCAGCAGUGGGGAAUAUUGCGCAAUGGGCGAAAGCCUGACGCAGCGACGCCGCGUGGGGGAUGAAGGUCUUAGGAUUGUAAACUCCUGUUAAGUGGGAAGAAAGUCUAUCAGUAAUAUGGGUAGAUUAUGACGGUACCGCUAGAGAAGCACCGGCUAACUUCGUGCCAGCAGCCGCGGUAA
Molecule: ribosomal RNA, 485 nt
Filed under: uncultured bacterium
Lineage: Bacteria
Description: SSU rRNA
Rfam family: Bacterial small subunit ribosomal RNA
Source: RNAcentral